UUUGGACAAUACGCGAAAGCGUGAUCCAGCGAACUAAUGGAAGCGAAGAAGAUGAGAAUUGUAAAGUUUAAUCGAGAGUUAACAAAUUGAGUAUACUCUAGAAGAAGCUCUGGCUAAUACAUGUGCCAGCAGCCGCGGUAAUACAUGAGGAGUAAGCGUUAUCCACAUUGACUGAGUGUACUAAAUACCAAGGUUAUUAUAAACAACUAAAUUGACGAUAUUUUAAAAAUUAAACACUUUAGUUUAUUUUAUAUAUGCUAAUUUUUGUUAAGAUUAGAAGACUUAUAGAACAGCGAUUGAAUGCAGUAACACUAUAGGGCUUACCAUAAACUAAGGUGCUAAUCUAACAAAAAUUUAAUCUGAUGUAUGAAAGUAUGGAGAUCGAUAAGGAGUAGUUAUCCUAGUAGUCCAUACUGUAAAAGAUGAGUACUUUAUGAUUUUUUAAUCAGGAAUAGCUAACGCAAAGUACUCCGCUCGGGUAGUAUAGCCGCAAGGUUAAAACUUAACUGAAUUGGCGGGAA
Molecule: ribosomal RNA, 521 nt
Filed under: Glaucoma chattoni
Lineage: Eukaryota; Ciliophora; Oligohymenophorea; Hymenostomatida; Glaucomidae
Description: SSU rRNA
Rfam family: Bacterial small subunit ribosomal RNA
Source: RNAcentral